CCCGUCGGACCAACGUGGACCUCGGGGCAGUACCCGCAGACUCUGACCCUGUACAUCCUCAUCAGCUUCUUGGCUCCCGCUCUCAUCUCUUCCCACGCUUGUAGAGUCUCUUCCGCUAGGGAGACUGUUUCUUCUUCGUUGGAAGGUGGAGUGAUCUCUGAGGGAGGUAGCUCGGUUAACAACGGCUCUGGAGGAAAGUGAGGCUCUGGAUCAGGCAGUUCGGUUUCAUCUGCGUCUACGAACUCGCUUUUGCCGAUGCGGAUUAUCGGUUUUCUUCUCCUUUUCGUUGGAAACUCAGGGAUCUCAACGCCUCCUUGGAUGCAGAGCUCGACUACGGCGGGGACUCGAGGGAUGGUGAAUCUCUCAUCGUGACGGAUGCGCUUGCCGAGACGGUCGUAGAGGUGGUAAGCUUCAAGAGGGACAAUGACGUCUUCGAGGACAGAGUUUGUCCAUUCAUGAUGACCUUUCCUUUGAGAAGCACUAGGACCUUUACACGACUUAAACGGAUGACCGUAAGGUCCAACGUGGAUCUCAUUACACCACCUAAGAGACAAAACAAGAACAACACAUAACCAAACAUAACAAGAAGAGGAAGAAGAAGAAGAAGAAGAGGAGUUAUUAAUUUAUUAUUACCCACAAGCGUUAACACGAACUACUUUCAUGAGGCGGUGGAGAUUGUUGAUCAGUCUGAUUCUCGCGUUGUACACUUUGUAAGCAAGAGGGACGAGAAGAGACAUGAGCCUGAUAAGAAUAGUUAUAGGAACAGAACAGAAGUGAACUUGCUAAAAGAAGAAGAAGGAGAAGACAGUUACUUACUUAAAAAGCUAAUCCAUGGCUUUAGACUGAUUUCAAACGUGACGAUGAUGAUGAGGGAUAACGCUUUGCAGUUUGAGGAAAAAAGUAAGAAGAAGAAGAAGAAGACACGAAAGUGGGUGUGAAUGUGAAAGCGAGCAGACCAGACAAGUGGUAUCUUGCCUUUACCAAAGAUAAAUAAAACUAAAGCAAUGAAGAAGAAAGGGAAUCUGGUAAAUGACGUUUUUACCCUUGAUUAUUUCAAAAAGUAGAUUUGUUCUUUUUAAAAAGUCUCAAAAGUGAUGUUUCAAACACAAGAUGAGACACCGUCACUAGUCAACUGGUUGGAACUUAAAAUAAUGUGAUUUUCAAUUAAAUAAUUAUACUAUGAAAAAAGGACAAACAUGUUCAAGGGAUCCAAAACUUCAAGGUCUGAAGCUGAAACUGAACAAUUGUGUUGGAUUUGUUUGUCCUACUUAUUAUCUAUCAAGUAUUUAAGUUUAUACUUAUGCCACAUGUACCUAGGUGCAUAUUAUCUACUGCAAAGAUGUCAUUCAAUGGUUCUUAAGUUAGAUUGUGGUAAUAGACAAGCAGUGAUGCUAUAAACAUCAAAUCAAACGACCAUUUCAGCUUCUUGAACACUAGAAGGUAUCCCAACCUCCAGUCUCAUAGUAGCCCUAUACUGUUCAGGCACUCCAGCACCAGCCUGCGCACAUAUCUCCACAACAGCAGGUGCUUGCCCGUAGAAGCUUCUCAGCUCCCUCUGCAUCGGCGGCCCAUUCACAUCAGGAACAUGCCAAACGUAUCUCGGCGGUAUCAAGUCAUCAAGCACCGCAGACUGCCAACCGUGCUGACCAUUCCUCUGCUGGUGCUUGAACGCGCCGCAGUUCUGCGCCUUGUGCCCCGUCGGACCAACGUGGACCUCGGGGCAGUACCCGCAGACUCUGACCCUGUACAUCCUCAUCAGCUUCUUGGCUCCCGCUCUCAUCUCUUCCCACGCUUGUAGAGUCUCUUCCGCUAGGGAGACUGUUUCUUCUUCGUUGGAAGGUGGAGUGAUCUCUGAGGGAGGUAGCUCGGUUAACAACGGCUCUGGAGGAAAGUGAGGCUCUGGAUCAGGCAGUUCGGUUUCAUCUGCGUCUACGAACUCGCUUUUGCCGAUGCGGAUUAUCGGUUUUCUUCUCCUUUUCGUUGGAAACUCAGGGAUCUCAACGCC
Molecule: long non-coding RNA, 2005 nt
Filed under: Brassica napus (rape)
Lineage: Eukaryota; Viridiplantae; Streptophyta; Magnoliopsida; Brassicales; Brassicaceae
Description: long non-coding RNA (BNAP_LNC001196)
Source: RNAcentral